AGAAGACUGGCGCAGUGGUUUGAGCACUGGAUUACAACUCUGGAGGCCAGAGUUCGAUUCGCAGUGGGUUUG
This is a non-coding RNA of Phrynosoma platyrhinos (Desert horned lizard), 72 nucleotides long. The record is from the annotation of a GenBank genome assembly. NCBI's taxonomy places the organism in Eukaryota, Metazoa, Chordata, Lepidosauria, Squamata, Phrynosomatidae.